This 272-nucleotide unclassified non-coding RNA is filed under the name uncultured fungus. RNAcentral's name for it is "sequence contains ITS1". Lineage: Eukaryota; Fungi. The record is from RNAcentral.
GUAAAAGUUUAUAGGCACAAAGGCCCAUUAAUUACAUUCUAUAAACAUACAUAGGGUAUAUGUAAACAUAGACCUGAAAAUAUAAGAAGAGACAAGAAGUCAAUUCUCAAUCCUGAGUACUAUAAAAGUGUUCAGAGAGAUAGUCAGGUCUACAAAAGGUGCACAGGUGAAGAUACAAAGAUGACAAGUGUGCACAUUGCUCCCUAGAGAACCAGCAACAACUUAUCAGGUUUAUUUCAAUAAUGAUCCUUCCGCAGGUUCACCUACGGAAA